Molecule: ribosomal RNA, 294 nt
Filed under: Escherichia coli
Lineage: Bacteria; Pseudomonadati; Pseudomonadota; Gammaproteobacteria; Enterobacterales; Enterobacteriaceae
Description: partial 16S ribosomal RNA
Rfam family: Bacterial small subunit ribosomal RNA
Source: RNAcentral
AAAUUGAAGAGUUUGAUCAUGGCUCAGAUUGAACGCUGGCGGCAGGCCUAACACAUGCAAGUCGAACGGUAACAGGAAUCAGCUUGCUGAUUCGCUGACGAGUGGCGGACGGGUGAGUAAUGUCUGGGAAACUGCCUGAUGGAGGGGGAUAACUACUGGAAACGGUAGCUAAUACCGCAUAACGUCGCAAGACCAAAGAGGGGGACCUUCGGGCCUCUUGCCAUCGGAUGUGCCCAGAUGGGAUUAGCUAGUAGGUGGGGUAAAGGCUCACCUAGGCGACGAUCCCUAGCUGGU